This 253-nucleotide ribosomal RNA is filed under the name uncultured bacterium. Its description in RNAcentral is "partial 16S ribosomal RNA". It matches the Rfam family "Bacterial small subunit ribosomal RNA", at positions 524 to 776 of the family's 1533-position model. The record is from RNAcentral.
UACAGAGGGGGCAAGCGUUGUUCGGAAUUACUGGGCGUAAAGGGCGCGUAGGCGGCUUUCUAAGUCGGAUGUGAAAUCCCCGGGCUCAACCCGGGAACUGCGUCCGAUACUGGAAGGCUUGAAUCCGGGAGAGGGAUGUGGAAUUCCAGGUGUAGCGGUGAAAUGCGUAGAUAUCUGGAGGAACACCGGUGGCGAAGGCGGCAUCCUGGACCGGUAUUGACGCUGAGGCGCGAAAGCCAGGGGAGCAAACAGG